GAUGAACGCUGGCGGCGUGGAUAAGGCAUGCAAGUCGAACGAAAUCUUUCCUGAAGAAGUUGCGAUUACAUCAAGAUGACGGAUUGAAGGAUUUAGUGGCGAACGAGUUAGUAACACCUUGGUAACGUACCUCCGAGUCGGGCACAACGGGUCGAAAGAUCCGCUAAUUCCCGAUAGUCCCGCAAGGGUAAAGUCGCAAGACGCUUGGAGAGCGGCCUAGGUCCUAUCAGCNGUUGGCGGGGUAACGGCCCACCAAGGCUACGACGGGUAGGGGGUGUGAGAGCAUGACCCUCAACGACGAAACUGAGAUACGGUUCGUACACCGUACGGGUGGCAGCAGUCGAGAAUAUUCGACAAUGGGCGAAAGCCUGAUCGAGCGACGCCGCGUG
RNAcentral lists this ribosomal RNA (389 nucleotides) under uncultured bacterium. RNAcentral describes it as "bacterial SSU rRNA". It matches the Rfam family "Bacterial small subunit ribosomal RNA", at positions 28 to 403 of the family's 1533-position model. The record is from RNAcentral.